GAUGAAGAACGUAGCGAAAUGCGAUAAGUAAUGUGAAUUGCAGAAUUCAGUGAAUCAUCGAAUCUUUGAACGCACAUUGCGCCCCCUGGUAUUCCGGGGGGCAUGCCUGUUCGAGCGUCAUUUCACCACUCAAGCCUCGCUUGGUAUUGGGCAACGCGGUCCGCCGCGUGCCUCAAAUCGACCGGCUGGGUCUUCUGUCCCCUAAGCGUUGUGGAAAUUAUUCGCUAAAGGGUGUUCGGGAGGCUACGCCGUAAAACAACCCCAUUUCUAAGGUUGACCUCGGAUCAGGUAGGGAUACCCGCUGAACUUAAGCAUAUCAAUAAGCGGAGGA
RNAcentral lists this unclassified non-coding RNA (331 nucleotides) under soil metagenome. RNAcentral describes it as "partial contains 5.8S ribosomal RNA, internal transcribed spacer 2, and large subunit ribosomal RNA". The stretch from base 1 to 120 matches the Rfam family "5.8S ribosomal RNA", at positions 35 to 154 of the family's 154-position model. The record is from RNAcentral.